This 189-nucleotide non-coding RNA is filed under the name Oscillatoriales cyanobacterium. Lineage: Bacteria; Bacillati; Cyanobacteriota; Cyanophyceae; Oscillatoriales. The record is from RNAcentral.
GAACAAUCUGCGGCUUAUGUUAAACUUCAUAAGCCUGGGUUGGGAAAGUCCGGUGAAAGUCCGGCACUGUGCCGCAACUGUAAUUUGAAUUCAAAAUUAAGCAUUCAAAAUUAAAACUUGAAUCGGUGAGUUGAAUUUUGAAUUUUGAAUUGAUCAAGUCAGAAUGCCAGUCCUGGUCACUCAAGUCCA